Molecule: transfer RNA, 63 nt
Filed under: Agonoscena pistaciae
Lineage: Eukaryota; Metazoa; Arthropoda; Insecta; Hemiptera; Aphalaridae
Description: tRNA-Tyr
Source: RNAcentral
AAUAGAAUGGCCGAUAAAGGUGGGGAACUGUAAAUUCUCUUAUAAACGUAAGUUUUUCUAUUA